This 421-nucleotide long non-coding RNA is filed under the name Nicotiana benthamiana. RNAcentral describes it as "long non-coding RNA (NBEN_LNC032333)". Lineage: Eukaryota; Viridiplantae; Streptophyta; Magnoliopsida; Solanales; Solanaceae. The record is from RNAcentral.
CCCUGUCCUCCACGCGCCGCGCGCGUGUGCCCACUUCCCGGCACUUUUUCCACCGGCUUCUUUUGGACAGUUUUCUCUCCCCAUAUUUCCGACCCACUUGGUACUCUCGGAAUUUUUCACUGGCCACUUUCAUCCUUUAUUGUUCAUUUAGCCACCUUGCUUUUCGCCGGAAAUUUUACCGGGAACUCCUACUCUUUUCCUUCUAUUCUAUCCCCUGCUUUUUGUGGGUGUGUUCUAUUUCCUUGGACAGGUACCUAUUUCAACGGCGAGGAUCUCCGACAACUACCAUCCAAACUCUCAUUCAGACUCACGGCAGGACGCAAUAGAGCCGCGCACUUUGCUCAGAUUCAGGAGAACUCGGGCGCAGCAAAGCACACUUCCAGGUUUUUCCACCGGGAGUUGGUACCUCCCGCUCUCUNNN